RNAcentral lists this ribosomal RNA (404 nucleotides) under uncultured bacterium. RNAcentral describes it as "bacterial SSU rRNA". It matches the Rfam family "Bacterial small subunit ribosomal RNA", at positions 69 to 463 of the family's 1533-position model. The record is from RNAcentral.
GCAGCAGGGGUGUAGCAAUACACUCGCUGGCGACCGGCAAACGGGUCGGGAACACGUACGCAACUUACCCAUAACUGGGGAAUAGCCCGGGGAAACCCGGAUUAAUACCCCGUAACAUAAUUGAAUGGCAUCAUUUGAUUAUUAUAGAUUUUAUCGGUUAUGGAUGGGCGUGCGCCUGAUUAGGUAGUUGGCGGGGUAACGGCCCACCAAGCCUACGAUCAGUAACUGGUGUGAGAGCACGACCAGUCACACGGGCACUGAGACACGGGCCCGACUCCUACGGGAGGCAGCAGUAAGGAAUAUUGGUCAAUGGACGCAAGUCUGAACCUAGCCAUGCCGCGUGAAGGAUGAAGGUCCUCUGGAUUGUAAACUUCUUUUAUAUGGGACAAAAACCCUCGGAUUCU